UCCAUUGAAGAUGCCCAUAUGAGUGGAC
This 28-nucleotide small RNA is filed under the name Bombyx mori (domestic silkworm). RNAcentral's name for it is "ovarian small RNA-3336". Lineage: Eukaryota; Metazoa; Arthropoda; Insecta; Lepidoptera; Bombycidae. The record is from RNAcentral.